GGGAAACCGGGGCUAAUACCGGAUGGUUGUUUGAACCGCAUGGUUCAAACAUAAAAGGUGGCUUCGGCUACCACUUACAGAUGGACCCGCGGCGCAUUAGCUAGUUGGUGAGGUAACGGCUCACCAAGGCAACGAUGCGUAGCCGACCUGAGAGGGUGAUCGGCCACACUGGGACUGAGACACGGCCCAGACUCCUACGGGAGGCAGCAGUAGGGAAUCUUCCGCAAUGGACGAAAGUCUGACGGAGCAACGCCGCGUGAGUGAUGAAGGUUUUCGGAUCGUAAAGCUCUGUUGUUAGGGAAGAACAAGUACCGUUCGAAUAGGGCGGUACCUUGACGGUACCUAACCAGAAAGCCACGGCUAACUACGUGCCAGCAGCCGCGGUAAUACGUAGGUGGCAAGCGUUGUCCGGAAUUAUUGGGCGUAAAGGGCUCGCAGGCGGUUUCUUAAGUCUGAUGUGAAAGCCCCCGGCUCAACCGGGGAGGGUCAUUGGAAACUGG
Molecule: ribosomal RNA, 500 nt
Filed under: Bacillus sp. MR1422
Lineage: Bacteria; Bacillati; Bacillota; Bacilli; Caryophanales; Bacillaceae
Description: bacterial SSU rRNA
Rfam family: Bacterial small subunit ribosomal RNA
Source: RNAcentral